RNAcentral lists this ribosomal RNA (939 nucleotides) under Staphylococcus aureus. RNAcentral describes it as "bacterial SSU rRNA". It matches the Rfam family "Bacterial small subunit ribosomal RNA", at positions 102 to 1026 of the family's 1533-position model. The record is from RNAcentral. Lineage: Bacteria; Bacillati; Bacillota; Bacilli; Caryophanales; Staphylococcaceae.
ACGGGUGAGUAACACGUGGAUAACCUACCUAUAAGACUGGGAUAACUUCGGGAAACCGGAGCUAAUACCGGAUAAUAUUUUGAACCGCAUGGUUCAAAAGUGAAAGACGGUCUUGCUGUCACUUAUAGAUGGAUCCGCGCUGCAUUAGCUAGUUGGUAAGGUAACGGCUUACCAAGGCAACGAUGCAUAGCCGACCUGAGAGGGUGAUCGGCCACACUGGAACUGAGACACGGUCCAGACUCCUACGGGAGGCAGCAGUAGGGAAUCUUCCGCAAUGGGCGAAAGCCUGACGGAGCAACGCCGCGUGAGUGAUGAAGGUCUUCGGAUCGUAAAACUCUGUUAUUAGGGAAGAACAUAUGUGUAAGUAACUGUGCACAUCUUGACGGUACCUAAUCAGAAAGCCACGGCUAACUACGUGCCAGCAGCCGCGGUAAUACGUAGGUGGCAAGCGUUAUCCGGAAUUAUUGGGCGUAAAGCGCGCGUAGGCGGUUUUUUAAGUCUGAUGUGAAAGCCCACGGCUCAACCGUGGAGGGUCAUUGGAAACUGGAAAACUUGAGUGCAGAAGAGGAAAGUGGAAUUCCAUGUGUAGCGGUGAAAUGCGCAGAGAUAUGGAGGAACACCAGUGGCGAAGGCGACUUUCUGGUCUGUAACUGACGCUGAUGUGCGAAAGCGUGGGGAUCAAACAGGAUUAGAUACCCUGGUAGUCCACGCCGUAAACGAUGAGUGCUAAGUGUUAGGGGGUUUCCGCCCCUUAGUGCUGCAGCUAACGCAUUAAGCACUCCGCCUGGGGAGUACGACCGCAAGGUUGAAACUCAAAGGAAUUGACGGGGACCCGCACAAGCGGUGGAGCAUGUGGUUUAAUUCGAAGCAACGCGAAGAACCUUACCAAAUCUUGACAUCCUUUGACAACUCUAGAGAUAGAGCCUUCCCCUUCGGGGG